CAGAGUUGGUUUGGACAAGGGGAAUCUAACUAUUUAAUUAAAACAAAGAAUUGCGAUGGUCCCUGUGGAUGCUGAUGCAGUGUGAUUUCUACCCAGUGCUCUGAAUGUUAAAGUGAAUAAAUUCAACCAAGCAUAGGAAAAUGAUGGGAGUAACUAUGACUCUGUUAAGUUAUCCAAAUGCCUCGCCAUCUAAUUAGUGAUGCACAUAAAUGGAUUAACUAGAUUCCCACUAUCCCUAUCAACUAUCUAGCGAAACCACAACCAAGGGAAUGGGCUUGGAAUAAUCAACAGGGAAAGAAGACCUUAUUGAGAUCGAUUGCAGUCCAAAUUUGUGAAAUGAAUUGAGAGUUGUAGAAUAAGUGGGAAUAAUUUUUGGCACAAAUGAAAUACCACUAUUGUUAACAUUAUUUUACUUACAAUUUUUUGGGGCAGAGAUGGGGAAAUUACUAUAUUUUUUGCCUUAAGUCAUGUUUCGAUGGGUCGAUCUGGGUGGAAGACAUUGCCAAGUGGGGAUUUUGGAUGGGGAAACAAAUCUAUUAAAAGAUAACAUAAAAUAUAAUUGGUGUAGAUAGAACAUUUGUAUUUGGGAGAUCCUAGUGCUCAACCACCCUUAUUACCUUUCCCUCCUAAUUUGUAGU
Picea glauca (white spruce) is the source of this 638-nucleotide non-coding RNA. Lineage: Eukaryota; Viridiplantae; Streptophyta; Pinopsida; Pinales; Pinaceae. The record is from Rfam.